AGUGAACGCUGGCGGUAGGCCUAACACAUGCAAGUCGAACGGCAGCACAGUAAGAGCUUGCUCUUACGGGUGGCGAGUGGCGGACGGGUGAGGAAUACAUCGGAAUCUACUUUUUCGUGGGGGAUAACGUAGGGAAACUUACGCUAAUACCGCAUACGACCUACGGGUGAAAGCAGGGGAUCUUCGGACCUUGCGCGGUUGAAUGAGCCGAUGUCGGAUUAGCUAGUUGGCGGGGUAAAGGCCCACCAAGGCGACGAUCCGUAGCUGGUCUGAGAGGAUGAUCAGCCACACUGGAACUGAGACACGGUCCAGACUCCUACGGGAGGCAGCAGUGGGGAAUAUUGGACAAUGGGCGCAAGCCUGAUCCAGCCAUACCGCGUGAGUGAAGAAGGCCUUCGGGUUGUAAAGCCCUUUUGUUGGGGAAGAAAAGCAGCAGGUUAAUACCCCGCUGUUCUGACGGUACCCAAAGAAUAAGCACCGGCUAACUUCGUG
This 492-nucleotide ribosomal RNA is filed under the name uncultured bacterium. RNAcentral describes it as "partial 16S ribosomal RNA". It matches the Rfam family "Bacterial small subunit ribosomal RNA", at positions 29 to 507 of the family's 1533-position model. The record is from RNAcentral.